Molecule: small nuclear RNA, 167 nt
Organism: Hippopotamus amphibius kiboko
Lineage: Eukaryota; Metazoa; Chordata; Mammalia; Artiodactyla; Hippopotamidae
Product: U1 spliceosomal RNA
Exons: 1
Source: RefSeq, a predicted model, not a curated record
GUACUUACCUGGCAGGGAAUAUACCAUGAUCAUGAAGAUGGUUUUCCCAGCAGGGCGAGGCUUAUCCAUUGCACUCUGGAUGUGCUGAACCCUGCGAUGUCCCCAAAUAUGGGAAACUCAACUGCAUAAUUUGUGGUAGUGGGGGACAGCGUUCGCACUUUCCCCUG